ACUCCUACGGGAGGCAGCAGUGGGGAAUAUUGGACAAUGGGCGAAAGCCUGAUCCAGCAAUGCCGCGUGAGUGAAGAAGGCCUUCGGGUUGUAAAGCUCUUUUACCCGGGAAGAUAAUGACUGUACCGGGAGAAUAAGCCCCGGCUAACUCCGUGCCAGCAGCCGCGGUAAUA
This 173-nucleotide ribosomal RNA is filed under the name uncultured bacterium. Its description in RNAcentral is "partial 16S ribosomal RNA". It matches the Rfam family "Bacterial small subunit ribosomal RNA", at positions 335 to 525 of the family's 1533-position model. The record is from RNAcentral.